This 1230-nucleotide long non-coding RNA is filed under the name Mustela putorius furo (domestic ferret). RNAcentral describes it as "lncRNA (ENSMPUG00000024562.1)". The record is from RNAcentral. Lineage: Eukaryota; Metazoa; Chordata; Mammalia; Carnivora; Mustelidae.
GGUAUCCGUAGCUACUGCAGCUGUUAUGCUGUUUGAAUCCUUUUUAAAGCUAGACUUAACUGGAGUUGUGAGAAGCAUAACUCUCCUGAAGGAAUCUCUAGCAGAAGGAGCAAUCAUUUUCAAGUGCUGCCCAUUUGCCAAAAUAAAGAUGUCCUUUCUCCAGCCAAACUUGAGCUGCCAGAGUGAACUAAUGACUUCAGAAUGGAAGACAGAUGCUUCCUGCGGGAGGAUUCCUGGGCAGACAGAGAACACAUAACCAGAGCUGGUUUCAGAAUUUGUGAGGCCCAGUGCAAAAUGAAAAUGGAGGACGACUUGUUCAAAAGUUAGGGGGAAAAGUGUUAUUAAAGGGACCAAAAUAUAAAGCUUUCCUCCUUUUCCCACAGUAUCUCUGCUUUUUAAUGUAUCUAAUGCUGCCCUAAUUAAAUAAGAAUAAAGCAUUUUAAGUUAAUGGCUUUUAUUUAUUUAUUUUUAUCAUUUCAAAUCCUUUAUUAUACAUCAUGGGUGCACAAUUUGAGGCUGGUUAAACACAAUUGGUUUCCAAAAUUUCUUUGAAUAGUUCCUAGAUUUACUACAUGAAUGUGACCAUGAAAAUAUUUGGCAUUUUAAAAUUUUGAAACUCUGAACAGGCACUUACAUGAAGGAAAACAUUACCAUUCACAGAUAGCCACAUUUAAAAUAGAUGCUCCAGCACAUGGUACAUGGAACCUUUUGCCGAUAAUGAAGUUGGUUACUGACCAUUUUAUCAAAGUGCCAUAGUAGUAAACAGGUUUAAAGAAAUGUAACUUGGGUUACUUAGCUUACUCAUAAAGUAAGGUUAACGGACAAGACUUGCGCUGAAGUGUAUAAAAAAAUAUUGGUACAAAAACCAGUGAACCCUUAGUGAAAGUAGUUUCACACGACAGGCUUCAUUUUAGUUCCUACACCCCACAUUUAGUGUAUCUGAGAUCAGACCCCAUGCAUACGAACAGAUGACUGAAACCUUCUUUUGGAACUUUGAACAAAUGACUUGAAUUUAGUGUUAGCAAAAUUUAAACAGAGUGGGUAAAAUUACAUUUCAGUUUGAACUAGCCAAAGUUCCAGGUUAACAAACAUGAAAUUGUCCAGAUCUAGAUAACUACAUGCUUCACAGGGCCUCCUGAGUUCCCCAUCCUCAAAUUUUCUCCUGGAAAGGGAAGAGAAUAUUUGUGAAGGCAAGAAAAUUAUAUUUUUAUGUAUGUGGUAAAAAGAUGC